UACCAGCUCUCCGAGUUGUAGGGAUGAUUAUUGGGCUUAAAGCGUCCGUAGCUGGCUUAGCAAGUCUCCUGUUAAAUUCAGCGACCUAAUCGUUGAGCCGCGGGAGAUACUACUAGGCUAGGAGGCGGGAGAGGUCGACGGUACUUUCGGGGUAGGGGUGAAAUCCUAUAAUCCCGGGAGGACCACCAGUGGCGAAGGCUGUCGACUAGAACGCGCUCGACGGUGAGGGACGAAAGCUGGGGGAGCGAACCGGAUUAGAUACCCGGGUAGUCCCAGCUGUAAACUAUGCGGGCUAGGUGUUGGGGUGGCUACGGGCCACCUCAGUGCCGCAGGAAAGCCAUUAAGCCCGCCGCCUGGGGAGUACGGCCGCAAGGCUGAAACUUAAAGGAAUUGGCGGGGGAGCACCACAAGGCGUGAAGCUUGCGGUUC
This 429-nucleotide ribosomal RNA is filed under the name uncultured archaeon. RNAcentral describes it as "bacterial SSU rRNA". It matches the Rfam family "Archaeal small subunit ribosomal RNA", at positions 474 to 903 of the family's 1478-position model. The record is from RNAcentral.